UACAGAGGCCUCGAGCGUUAGGCGGAAUCACUGGGCUUAAAGCGUGUGUAGGCGGACUUCUAAGUACCUUGUGAAAUCCCACGGCUUACCCGUGGAACUGCUCGGUAUACUGGUUGUCUUGAGCCAUCUAGGGGCUACCGGAACAAAUGGUGGAGCGGUGAAAUGCGUAGAUAUCAUUUGGAACGCCAAUGGUGAAAACAGGUAGCUGGGGAUGUGCUGACGCUGAGACACGAAAGCCAGGGGAGCAAACGGG
This 253-nucleotide ribosomal RNA is filed under the name uncultured bacterium. Its description in RNAcentral is "partial 16S ribosomal RNA". It matches the Rfam family "Bacterial small subunit ribosomal RNA", at positions 524 to 776 of the family's 1533-position model. The record is from RNAcentral.